UCCCAUACCGAACACGACCGUUAAGCCCUCCAGCGCCAAUGGUACUUGGACCGCAGGGUCCUGGGAGAGUAGGACGUCGCCAAGC
Molecule: ribosomal RNA, 85 nt
Filed under: Paenibacillus soyae
Lineage: Bacteria; Bacillati; Bacillota; Bacilli; Caryophanales; Paenibacillaceae
Source: RNAcentral